AUUAUUUUAUCUCGUCCGCCGCCUUCUUCUUCAUCUUCCCCUAUUUAUAUUGUUCUCUCAAAAUUGGAAUGAACCAGUUCGAUCUCUAGUCAUCUUCUUCCUCUCAUUAUGCGAAGAUUCAAAAACCAUGGUAGCGUAACUCUAAAGAAGUUUACGUCUACGAUGGUUUAUAUAUAACUUCGAGCUUUGGUGUAAAAGAUUGCUCAUUUGAUGGAUGCAAUUAUGCAAGUCAUUGACGAUCUUACAGCUUGCAUCUAAGCAUAUUAGCCUUUUGAAGAACUCUGGUAGUAUCCAUGAGAUGAAAUUAGAAUUCCGUUGCUAAUUUCAAGUUCAUACGGGUUGGAUGAUACUGAAGAAGGAUUCGAACACUGGGUUGAAUGUGAAUUGCAAGUAUUCACCAGUUGUCUCAGUCUGGUAAUGGAAAAUGUAUGUUAUUGAUAAUAAAAUAUUAAAUGUGUUUCUGAUAAUAAGAGGAUAUUUGAUUUUAGAACUAGUGAAGUUGUGUAACAUAUUGAUCCAUGUAAUUGUAACCCAAAUGAAAUAAAAGUAAUUUAGUUGAAUGUGUUC
Impatiens glandulifera is the source of this 567-nucleotide long non-coding RNA. RefSeq lists it as uncharacterized. The transcript is spliced from 2 exons. Lineage: Eukaryota; Viridiplantae; Streptophyta; Magnoliopsida; Ericales; Balsaminaceae. The record is from RefSeq and is a predicted model, not a curated record.